CAUCAUCGCCAUUCAACUGAAUAAUCUUUCAGGCUGUUGGCGUGCUUGGAAGAUUUCUUCCGAAGCUGACAAGAUAAAGAUCAAAAAAAUCUUACCCCUCGGAAGGCAACUUUCGAGGGGUUUUGUU
RNAcentral lists this small RNA (127 nucleotides) under Parahaemophilus parainfluenzae. RNAcentral's name for it is "Haemophilus parainfluenzae Histidine operon leader". It matches the Rfam family "Histidine operon leader". From Rfam's summary of the family: At least 6 amino acid operons are known to be regulated by attenuation. Lineage: Bacteria; Pseudomonadati; Pseudomonadota; Gammaproteobacteria; Pasteurellales; Pasteurellaceae. The record is from RNAcentral.